AGCGAACGCUGGCGGCAGGCCUAACACAUGCAAGUCGAACGAACUCUUCGGAGUUAGUGGCGGACGUGUGAGUAACACGUGGGAACGUGCCUUUAGGUUCGGAAUAACUCAGGGAAACUUGUGCUAAUACCGAAUGUGCCCUUCGGGGGAAAGAUUUAUCGCCUUUAGAGCGGCCCGCGUCUGAUUAGCUAGUUGGUGAGGUAAAGGCUCACCAAGGCGACGAUCAGUAGCUGGUCUGAGAGGAUGAUCAGCCACAUUGGGACUGAGACACGGCCCAAACUCCUACGGGAGGCAGCAGUGGGGAAUCUUGCGCAAUGGGCGAAAGCCUGACGCAGCCAUGCCGCGUGAAUGAUGAAGGUCUUAGGAUUGUAAAAUUCUUUCACCGGGGACGAUAAUGACGGUACCCGGAGAAGAAGCCCCGGCUAACUUCGUG
This 433-nucleotide ribosomal RNA is filed under the name uncultured bacterium. RNAcentral's name for it is "partial 16S ribosomal RNA". It matches the Rfam family "Bacterial small subunit ribosomal RNA", at positions 29 to 507 of the family's 1533-position model. The record is from RNAcentral.